Molecule: long non-coding RNA, 296 nt
Filed under: Homo sapiens (human)
Lineage: Eukaryota; Metazoa; Chordata; Mammalia; Primates; Hominidae
Description: non-protein coding lnc-SRGAP3-4:1
Source: RNAcentral
UAUUUAAGUACAUAUAAACAAGCCCACAACCUAGCAUAAUAAAAAUCACAUUAGCCCAUCCAAUUUUCCCCCUUUGUCCUAGUUUCUUUUUGAUGGGAGGAGGCGUUGUGAGAUAAUAAUAGCAGGAAAUAAGGUGGAGCAGCUGCACAGGCAAGAUGAGGUACAGUGCUUGUGUUUCACCUCCAUUCCAGCCCUCUGCUGGCUAAGUCUUGGUGAAAAUGAGAUUAGCUGUUUGGGGAGCCCUAACAGUUAUCAAAACCUUUGGAAUCAAAAUGUGGUCCCUUACUGUCUCACUU